This 153-nucleotide ribosomal RNA is filed under the name Ampelomyces quisqualis. RNAcentral's name for it is "5.8S ribosomal RNA". It matches the Rfam family "5.8S ribosomal RNA". Rfam says of the family: 5.8S ribosomal RNA (5.8S rRNA) is a component of the large subunit of the eukaryotic ribosome. It is transcribed by RNA polymerase I as part of the 45S precursor that also contains 18S and 28S rRNA. The record is from RNAcentral. Lineage: Eukaryota; Fungi; Ascomycota; Dothideomycetes; Pleosporales; Phaeosphaeriaceae.
ACUUUCAACAACGGAUCUCUUGGUUCUGGCAUCGAUGAAGAACGCAGCGAAAUGCGAUAAGUAGUGUGAAUUGCAGAAUUCAGUGAAUCAUCGAAUUUUUGAACGCAUAUUGCGCCCCAUGGUAUUCCAUGGGGCAUGCCUGUUCGAGCGUCA